GCCUGGGUGGCUCAGUCGGUUGAGCGUCCGACUUCGGCUCAGGUCAUGAUCUCACAGUUGGUGGGUUCGAGCCCCGCAUCAGGCU
RNAcentral lists this transfer RNA (85 nucleotides) under Felis catus (domestic cat). It matches the Rfam family "tRNA". Rfam says of the family: Transfer RNA (tRNA) molecules are approximately 80 nucleotides in length. Their secondary structure includes four short double-helical elements and three loops (D, anti-codon, and T loops). The record is from Rfam by way of RNAcentral. Lineage: Eukaryota; Metazoa; Chordata; Mammalia; Carnivora; Felidae.